Long non-coding RNA from Mytilus trossulus (common blue mussel), 742 nucleotides. RefSeq lists it as uncharacterized. The transcript is spliced from 2 exons. The record is from RefSeq and is a predicted model, not a curated record. Lineage: Eukaryota; Metazoa; Mollusca; Bivalvia; Mytilida; Mytilidae.
AUAUGUAUGACUCAUAAGCGUCUUAGCAACAUAUCCUUUAUCUAUUAUAUAACAUGUAUAUUUUAGACGAGACAGAUAAUCAUUGAAAUCUCGUAUUUCCAUUUCCGUAGGAAGUUAAAAAUAGAUGUAAAAAUAAAUGUGUAGAGAAAGGCCACUCUAUCAGGAUACAAUUGUCAUUCAUGCAGGUAAUUUACAUAUUGAAAAAUUAUGAUACAAACUACGUUAGAUAUUAUAAGAAACAUAACCGAUAUCGUAAACAGAGGAACGUCGACAUCUGGUGGCAGCUCUCAUGAAAAACCAAGUUAUCUGGGAUAUACCUUUGUAUUUGUGAUUGGAUUUGGUUUUGGUGUGGUGACAUAUAAAAUGUUUUUAGGUAAAAAUUCAUUGCCACCUUUACCUACUGUGAUAAACAAUUACAUAGAUAUUUCAGACGAUAGUGACAGAUCGGACGAUAGUGACAAAUCGGACGAUAGCGACAAAGAGGACGACAGGGAUAGAGAGAAAGAAAACAAGAAAGACAAAAGGGAAGCAGACGACUCCUAAAAGUUGAAGUCAUCAGUUAUCAUCAUUCGUCAAAGCUCGGCCGAUGUCGUUCGAUCAUCUAACGAGAAUAGAAAUAAGGUAGACGAUUCACCCGUGGAAAGCCGCGAUUGCAGUUAUCAUCAGAAAAUUAAGAAUUCUUAUGAUUAAAUCUUAUAAUGUCACAUUAUUUAUACCUUCGUUGAAAUAAAUGUGAAGAACA